UCCAUAAAGUGGCCUUCUGAGUGUUUGCUUUGCGAUGAAAGAAAACUUUUGAGAGCUUGGAAUAAAGAAGGAAUAGGGGCUCCCUUUCCUGCAGUAGCUACUUUGUUUGGGUCUGAGAAGCCAGACUCAGAAAACUGCCCUGCCCCGUGACUUCCAUCUGCUCCUCUCCUGAUAAUUGUAAAAGCCAAUGAAGAUUGUGCUUCUUAACUACACAUCAGCCGGCUGAUUGUAAGUGUUGGGAAUAUAAUUAGGGGUACACGGCUCUGACCCUCACUCUUCGUAGGUUUAACAAGAUUGGACUUACGCAAUGGCAAGAAGGAAACCGAGAUUGAAAAUGACCAAUUUUGCUGGUUGAGAGGCGUCUUGUUUUCUGGAAGAAACUGAGAAUCUGCAGUUGUAGACUGGGAAUGCUAGAACCUCUGGAGUGGCAUCAACUCGAUCGGGGGGUUACCGACUUGGAGCUAUUUGCAAAGGACACGUGCUGC
This 485-nucleotide long non-coding RNA is filed under the name Homo sapiens (human). RNAcentral's name for it is "HSALNT0278789". Lineage: Eukaryota; Metazoa; Chordata; Mammalia; Primates; Hominidae. The record is from RNAcentral.